RNAcentral lists this ribosomal RNA (253 nucleotides) under uncultured bacterium. Its description in RNAcentral is "partial 16S ribosomal RNA". It matches the Rfam family "Bacterial small subunit ribosomal RNA", at positions 524 to 776 of the family's 1533-position model. The record is from RNAcentral.
UACGGAGGAUCCAAGCGUUAUCCGGAAUCAUUGGGUUUAAAGGGUCCGUAGGCGGUUUAAUAAGUCAGUGGUGAAAGCCCAUCGCUCAACGGUGGAACGGCCAUUGAUACUGUUAAACUUGAAUUAUUAGGAAGUAACUAGAAUAUGUAGUGUAGCGGUGAAAUGCUUAGAGAUUACAUGGAAUACCAAUUGCGAAGGCAGGUUACUACUAAUGGAUUGACGCUGAUGAACGAAAGCGUGGGUAGCGAACAGG